RNAcentral lists this ribosomal RNA (469 nucleotides) under uncultured bacterium. Its description in RNAcentral is "partial 16S ribosomal RNA". It matches the Rfam family "Bacterial small subunit ribosomal RNA", at positions 329 to 793 of the family's 1533-position model. The record is from RNAcentral.
UGCCAGACUCCUACGGGAGGCAGCAGUGAGGAAUAUUGGUCAAUGGGCGGAAGCCUGAACCAGCCAAGUCGCGUGAGGGAAGAAGGCCCUGCGGGUCGCAGACCUCUUUGGACGGGGAGCAAGGCCGCCGACGUGUCGGCGGAAGGAGAGUACCCGUAGAACAAGCAUCGGCUAACUCCGUGCCAGCAGCCGCGGUAAUACGGAGGAUGCGAGCGUUAAUCGGAAUUACUGGGCGUAAAGCGCACGCAGGCGGUUUGUUAAGUCAGAUGUGAAAUCCCCGGGCUCAACCUGGGAACUGCCUUUGAAACUGGCAAACUGGAGUGUGUGAGAGGAUAGUGGAAUUCCAGGUGUAGGAGUGAAAUCCGUAGAUAUCUGGAGGAACAUCAGUGGCGAAGGCGACUAUCUGGCACAUAACUGACGCUGAGGGGCGAAAGCGUGGGUAGCAAACAGGAUUAGAUACCCCGGUAAG